This 522-nucleotide ribosomal RNA is filed under the name uncultured bacterium. Its description in RNAcentral is "partial 16S ribosomal RNA". It matches the Rfam family "Bacterial small subunit ribosomal RNA", at positions 28 to 523 of the family's 1533-position model. The record is from RNAcentral.
GACGAACGCUGGCGGCGUGCCUAAUACAUGCAAGUCGAACGCAAAACUUUCACCGAAUGCUUGCAUUCACGAAAGUUUUGAGUGGCGAACGGGUGAGUAACACGUGGGUAACCUGCCCAGCAGAGGGGGAUAACACUUGGAAACAGGUGCUAAUACCGCAUAAUAACAAAAACCGCAUGGUUUUUGUUUGAAGGAUGGUUUUGCUAUCACUUCUGGAUGGACCCGCGGCGUAUUAGCUAGUUGGUAAGGUAAAGGCUUACCAAGGCAAUGAUGAGUAGCCGAACUGAGAGGUUGAUCGGCCACAUUGGGACUGAGACACGGCCCAAACUCCUACGGGAGGCAGCAGUAGGGAAUCUUCCACAAUGGACGAAAGUCUGAUGGAGCAACGCCGCGUGAGUGAAGAAGGUUUUCGGAUCGUAAAACUCUGUUGUUAGAGAAGAACGUGUGUGAGAGUAACUGCUCAUGCAGUGACAGUAUCUAACCAGAAAGCCACGGCUAACUACGUGCCAGCCGCCGCCGUAA